Molecule: long non-coding RNA, 815 nt
Organism: Aedes aegypti (yellow fever mosquito)
Lineage: Eukaryota; Metazoa; Arthropoda; Insecta; Diptera; Culicidae
Exons: 3
Source: RefSeq, a predicted model, not a curated record
UUUACGGUUCCGGUGAAAUUUUGUUACCAAAAAUUUUGAAGUAAUGCCGACAAAAUGUAGCAAUCAUUUCCCGCAGUGCGUUUCCUAUCAAUAAAUGCUAUAAAUCUUACGAAACAACAGCCGUAGCUCCUCUCUCGCACACUUCGGAUACAACUCCGACAACUCCAAAUCCAUCCUGCUUACGCGAACAGCAGCCCGAAAGCAAUCAAGACAAUGGAACUAUAGCACAGUCAUAGUGGCUGAACAGAAGUUGGUGGUCGGUCGACGAGUCAAAGUCUCAUGCAAGAAAGUUUAUAAAAAGUGCAUGCUAGUUUGCAAAUAUAUUCGUUAUGCAUAUUGGCGAAUCUCCAGAAGGUAAAAGGGAAAAGACACUAAAGUAUGUUCAGUUCAGAACUAAUUCCUUCUCAUACAUUAAAGUGACGAAUGCGCCACGUGCAAGACAACUCUCGGUGCCAGUUGUACCCCACGGAUUCUACACUGCACGAUACUUUGCAUGAUUGAGCAGACUGACCAGACCAGACCGAAAAUACCGACCGGGACAUUACCAGGCAUCGCAACCACCCGCCACAUGUUCGAUUGCCUCAGAACAAUAGGUAACCAUGUUCAAUUAAUGGUCCCACUUUGGCUAGGGUUCAUAAAAUGUGCUUUCAGUUCCACUCGCCAUUGAACGAUCAGGAUUUACGGAAGCUCAAUAAUCUGAAGCUGGGAAAAGGCCCUUCACCAGAGAGGGCCUUUUGUCCAUUGCCUAAAGACUGUGCCGCCGAUCACAACCGGCUAGCACACAGCGACACCGUCUCGGAUAGUCCAAUCCAGCC